RNAcentral lists this ribosomal RNA (253 nucleotides) under uncultured bacterium. RNAcentral's name for it is "partial 16S ribosomal RNA". It matches the Rfam family "Bacterial small subunit ribosomal RNA", at positions 524 to 776 of the family's 1533-position model. The record is from RNAcentral.
UACGGGGGGGGCAAGCGUUGUUCGGAAUUACUGGGCGUAAAGGGCGCGUAGGCGGUUCGCUAAGUUGGAUGUGAAAACUCUGGGCUCAACCCAGAGCCUGCAUCCAAAACUGGCGGGCUAGAGUUCUGGAGGGGGUAGCGGAAUUCCUGGUGUAGCGGUGAAAUGCGUAGAUAUCAGGAGGAACACCGGUGGCGAAGGCGGGUCUCUGGGCCAUAACUGACGCUGAGGAGCGAAAGCGUGGGGAGCGAACAGG